Molecule: non-coding RNA, 231 nt
Filed under: Vitis vinifera (wine grape)
Lineage: Eukaryota; Viridiplantae; Streptophyta; Magnoliopsida; Vitales; Vitaceae
Description: Bacterial large subunit ribosomal RNA
Rfam family: Bacterial large subunit ribosomal RNA
Source: Rfam by way of RNAcentral
AAUUUGAAUUUCCUCGUCAAGGAAUAGAUAAAUAAUUUUUAUAGAGCGUAAGUCUCUCAAAAGGUAAUGGAAAUUAACAAAGGUUUUCUCAAGCAAAACAAAGAUGGACCUUGAGUGCAAAGGUAAAAGGGAGUUUGACUACAAGAUCCACCCGUCGAAUAGGGACAAAAGCCGACCUUAAUGAUCUAACGAUAUCGAAUUGAAGGGUUAUCACUCAAUAUAUAAAAAUUA